ACCUCGGGGGUUUCCUGCUUUAUGGCGAAGGGCCAGGGCCCCACACACCUCCCGCCUGACAGCCAGCCAAGCUCUUCAGUCCCCCGCCCUCCACCUGCCAGGGAGGCUCCGGGCGUUAUACCUGCCACCACGGGGUAGGUCUGACACAUAUACUCAUAGAAAUGAGUUAUUUAAAGAAGACGGUCCAGAUUCCACAGUCCAAAAAAAAAAAGAGGUUUGCCCUGCUUCCGAAGGAGUCAGGAUAUGAAUGCAGAGGUCUUCCUGUUGGCUCACAUAUCAGACCUUCAACGUCAACAUUAAAUGCUGAAAGAACAUCAGUGUAUCAGCACAGCAAAUAUUCCAAAUGCCAGGCUGGAUUCCCUCCAAUUACCAGAACCUCCAGGCUUCUCCUCCUUUCAAGAACUUUCUGACCCUGGAUCCAGUCUAAAUGUUGGUUAUAAACUCACCUGACAUCCACAGGGCCCUUCCAAAGUACUGUCAAGGCUGACUGCUGGUGCCUGGAACCUGCACACCCU
RNAcentral lists this non-coding RNA (515 nucleotides) under Pan troglodytes (chimpanzee). Lineage: Eukaryota; Metazoa; Chordata; Mammalia; Primates; Hominidae. The record is from RNAcentral.